RNAcentral lists this ribosomal RNA (2906 nucleotides) under Escherichia coli. RNAcentral's name for it is "23S ribosomal RNA". It matches the Rfam family "Bacterial large subunit ribosomal RNA". Lineage: Bacteria; Pseudomonadati; Pseudomonadota; Gammaproteobacteria; Enterobacterales; Enterobacteriaceae. The record is from RNAcentral.
GGUUAAGCGACUAAGCGUACACGGUGGAUGCCCUGGCAGUCAGAGGCGAUGAAGGACGUGCUAAUCUGCGAUAAGCGUCGGUAAGGUGAUAUGAACCGUUAUAACCGGCGAUUUCCGAAUGGGGAAACCCAGUGUGUUUCGACACACUAUCAUUAACUGAAUCCAUAGGUUAAUGAGGCGAACCGGGGGAACUGAAACAUCUAAGUACCCCGAGGAAAAGAAAUCAACCGAGAUUCCCCCAGUAGCGGCGAGCGAACGGGGAGCAGCCCAGAGCCUGAAUCAGUGUGUGUGUUAGUGGAAGCGUCUGGAAAGGCGCGCGAUACAGGGUGACAGCCCCGUACACAAAAAUGCACAUGCUGUGAGCUCGAUGAGUAGGGCGGGACACGUGGUAUCCUGUCUGAAUAUGGGGGGACCAUCCUCCAAGGCUAAAUACUCCUGACUGACCGAUAGUGAACCAGUACCGUGAGGGAAAGGCGAAAAGAACCCCGGCGAGGGGAGUGAAAAAGAACCUGAAACCGUGUACGUACAAGCAGUGGGAGCACGCUUCGGCGUGUGACUGCGUACCUUUUGUAUAAUGGGUCAGCGACUUAUAUUCUGUAGCAAGGUUAACCGAAUAGGGGAGCCGAAGGGAAACCGAGUCUUAACUGGGCGUUAAGUUGCAGGGUAUAGACCCGAAACCCGGUGAUCUAGCCAUGGGCAGGUUGAAGGUUGGGUAACACUAACUGGAGGACCGAACCGACUAAUGUUGAAAAAUUAGCGGAUGACUUGUGGCUGGGGGUGAAAGGCCAAUCAAACCGGGAGAUAGCUGGUUCUCCCCGAAAGCUAUUUAGGUAGCGCCUCGUGAAUUCAUCUCCGGGGGUAGAGCACUGUUUCGGCAAGGGGGUCAUCCCGACUUACCAACCCGAUGCAAACUGCGAAUACCGGAGAAUGUUAUCACGGGAGACACACGGCGGGUGCUAACGUCCGUCGUGAAGAGGGAAACAACCCAGACCGCCAGCUAAGGUCCCAAAGUCAUGGUUAAGUGGGAAACGAUGUGGGAAGGCCCAGACAGCCAGGAUGUUGGCUUAGAAGCAGCCAUCAUUUAAAGAAAGCGUAAUAGCUCACUGGUCGAGUCGGCCUGCGCGGAAGAUGUAACGGGGCUAAACCAUGCACCGAAGCUGCGGCAGCGACGCUUAUGCGUUGUUGGGUAGGGGAGCGUUCUGUAAGCCUGUGAAGGUGUACUGUGAGGUAUGCUGGAGGUAUCAGAAGUGCGAAUGCUGACAUAAGUAACGAUAAAGCGGGUGAAAAGCCCGCUCGCCGGAAGACCAAGGGUUCCUGUCCAACGUUAAUCGGGGCAGGGUGAGUCGACCCCUAAGGCGAGGCCGAAAGGCGUAGUCGAUGGGAAACAGGUUAAUAUUCCUGUACUUGGUGUUACUGCGAAGGGGGGACGGAGAAGGCUAUGUUGGCCGGGCGACGGUUGUCCCGGUUUAAGCGUGUAGGCUGGUUUUCCAGGCAAAUCCGGAAAAUCAAGGCUGAGGCGUGAUGACGAGGCACUACGGUGCUGAAGCAACAAAUGCCCUGCUUCCAGGAAAAGCCUCUAAGCAUCAGGUAACAUCAAAUCGUACCCCAAACCGACACAGGUGGUCAGGUAGAGAAUACCAAGGCGCUUGAGAGAACUCGGGUGAAGGAACUAGGCAAAAUGGUGCCGUAACUUCGGGAGAAGGCACGCUGAUAUGUAGGUGAAGUCCCUCGCGGAUGGAGCUGAAAUCAGUCGAAGAUACCAGCUGGCUGCAACUGUUUAUUAAAAACACAGCACUGUGCAAACACGAAAGUGGACGUAUACGGUGUGACGCCUGCCCGGUGCCGGAAGGUUAAUUGAUGGGGUUAGCGGUAACGCGAAGCUCUUGAUCGAAGCCCCGGUAAACGGCGGCCGUAACUAUAACGGUCCUAAGGUAGCGAAAUUCCUUGUCGGGUAAGUUCCGACCUGCACGAAUGGCGUAAUGAUGGCCAGGCUGUCUCCACCCGAGACUCAGUGAAAUUGAACUCGCUGUGAAGAUGCAGUGUACCCGCGGCAAGACGGAAAGACCCCGUGAACCUUUACUAUAGCUUGACACUGAACAUUGAGCCUUGAUGUGUAGGAUAGGUGGGAGGCUUAGAAGUGUGGACGCCAGUCUGCAUGGAGCCGACCUUGAAAUACCACCCUUUAAUGUUUGAUGUUCUAACGUUGACCCGUAAUCCGGGUUGCGGACAGUGUCUGGUGGGUAGUUUGACUGGGGCGGUCUCCUCCUAAAGAGUAACGGAGGAGCACGAAGGUUGGCUAAUCCUGGUCGGACAUCAGGAGGUUAGUGCAAUGGCAUAAGCCAGCUUGACUGCGAGCGUGACGGCGCGAGCAGGUGCGAAAGCAGGUCAUAGUGAUCCGGUGGUUCUGAAUGGAAGGGCCAUCGCUCAACGGAUAAAAGGUACUCCGGGGAUAACAGGCUGAUACCGCCCAAGAGUUCAUAUCGACGGCGGUGUUUGGCACCUCGAUGUCGGCUCAUCACAUCCUGGGGCUGAAGUAGGUCCCAAGGGUAUGGCUGUUCGCCAUUUAAAGUGGUACGCGAGCUGGGUUUAGAACGUCGUGAGACAGUUCGGUCCCUAUCUGCCGUGGGCGCUGGAGAACUGAGGGGGGCUGCUCCUAGUACGAGAGGACCGGAGUGGACGCAUCACUGGUGUUCGGGUUGUCAUGCCAAUGGCACUGCCCGGUAGCUAAAUGCGGAAGAGAUAAGUGCUGAAAGCAUCUAAGCACGAAACUUGCCCCGAGAUGAGUUCUCCCUGACUCCUUGAGAGUCCUGAAGGAACGUUGAAGACGACGACGUUGAUAGGCCGGGUGUGUAAGCGCAGCGAUGCGUUGAGCUAACCGGUACUAAUGAACCGUGAGGCUUAACCUU